GCUAAGGAAGAAUUUUUAUUAAAAUAUGACUUAAGAAAGUGCAUUAAUUAAUGCAUUCUCCUGAAAUGAAUCUACUCGUCUGAUAUAGAAUCAUCUUCGCGAUAAUAUAGUAGAGGGGCAUGGUAAAUAUCUCUACGUAUGAUUUCUCCAAUAUCGAUAUCAUCAGAGAUAUUUUCUGAAAAAAAGUCGAAAAAUGAUAAAACACUAUUUUUGUAUUCCUCUUCAUUUUCUUCAGUAUCAAUAAAUUUCUUUUCAAUAAUUGAUCUUGGGGACUCUUUCUUCCAG
RNAcentral lists this non-coding RNA (285 nucleotides) under Cryptosporidium parvum. Lineage: Eukaryota; Apicomplexa; Conoidasida; Eucoccidiorida; Cryptosporidiidae. The record is from RNAcentral.